AUGUAGCGAGCUGAGUGGGGAGGAGAGAGGGACAGAGAGCCUGCUUGCUUUAAAGGAGCCAACCGGACAGGAGCCGCUUACACUCAUGUAAACGGCUCCUCUCCUCUCCUGCUUUGCUCCUUUAAAGAAGCAGGCUCUCUGUCCCUCUCUCCUCCCCACUCAGCGGCUCUUCUC
RNAcentral lists this microRNA precursor (174 nucleotides) under Podarcis lilfordi (Lilford's wall lizard). Lineage: Eukaryota; Metazoa; Chordata; Lepidosauria; Squamata; Lacertidae. The record is from RNAcentral.